CCGGAUGCUCCAGAUGACCGCAUGGGAUUCUGGGAAAGCUUUUGCGGCAUGGGAUGGGGUCGCGUCCUAUCAGCUUGUUGGUGGGGUGAUGGCCCACCAAGGCUUCGACGGGUAGCCGGCCUGAGAGGGCGACCGGCCACAUUGGGACUGAGAUACGGCCCAGACUCCUACGGGAGGCAGCAGUGGGGAAUAUUGCGCAAUGGGCGAAAGCCUGACGCAGCGACGCCGCGUGCGGGAUGGAGGCCUUCGGGUUGUAAACCGCUUUUAUCGGGGAGCAAGCGAGAGUGAGUGUACCCGUUGAAUAAGCACCGGCUAACUACGUGCCAGCAGCCGCGGUAAUACGUAGGGUGCAAGCGUUAUCCGGAUUUAUUGGGCGUAAAGGGCUCGUAGGCGGUUCGUCGCGUCUGGUGUGAAAGUCCAUCGCUUAACGGUGGAUCUGCGCCGGGUACGGGCGGGCUGGAGUGCGGCAGGGGAGACUGGAAUUCCCGGUGUAA
RNAcentral lists this ribosomal RNA (494 nucleotides) under uncultured Bifidobacterium sp. RNAcentral describes it as "bacterial SSU rRNA". It matches the Rfam family "Bacterial small subunit ribosomal RNA", at positions 169 to 678 of the family's 1533-position model. Lineage: Bacteria; Bacillati; Actinomycetota; Actinomycetes; Bifidobacteriales; Bifidobacteriaceae. The record is from RNAcentral.